UAGAGGGAGACCAAGCGGUGAAGUAAAGACGAACAUGUAUGUCUUACAUUCACCGGUCAAACCAAGGUCGGUUCAAAAGACGGAAAUUUGUGCAGAAGAAACUGUCAAACUAAUUGUUCUGGUUCAAACAAUCUAACCAAGAAAAAAGGUUAAAAAACGGAACAAGGGCUAUUAGCUCAGGUGGUUAGAGCGCACCCCUGAUAAGGGUGAGGUCCCUGGUUCAAGUCCAGGAUGGCCCACCACAAAUAAGUAAGAAGUAGAAAGUAGUAAGUAACAAGUAAGAAACAAGUGAAAGUUACAAUCGAGUUCUGAAAGAAUGGGGGUAUAGCUCAGCUGGUAGAGCGCCUGCUUUGCAAGCAGGAUGUCAGCGGUUCAAAUCCGCUUACCUCCACCAAGAAAAGAAAAAAUAAUUAAAAUUCAGCAUGGUCAUGACUACAGAAAAAAGUAGGAUGAGUCUGCUGAAGUUUAAAACUUCAGAACAGAACCUUGAAAACUGCAUAAUAUCUAGAAACAACAAACAAGAAUUCGAGUUGAAAGACGAGAAGGUGAGUUUGUUGGUGAUAGAGCCAAGAACUAAAGUAAAAAAUUAAUUUAGGUCAAAUAAAACUAAGACGAUAAGUGAGAGCUUAUCGAAAUAGUCCAAGUAGUAGAGAACAAAAACAAAU
This 665-nucleotide transfer RNA is filed under the name Pleurocapsa fuliginosa HA4302-MV1. RNAcentral's name for it is "16S-23S ribosomal RNA intergenic spacer". The stretch from base 319 to 391 matches the Rfam family "tRNA". Lineage: Bacteria; Bacillati; Cyanobacteriota; Cyanophyceae; Pleurocapsales; Pleurocapsaceae. RNAcentral also lists the same sequence under 1 other name. The record is from RNAcentral.